RNAcentral lists this ribosomal RNA (424 nucleotides) under uncultured eukaryote. RNAcentral's name for it is "bacterial SSU rRNA". It matches the Rfam family "Eukaryotic small subunit ribosomal RNA", at positions 592 to 1018 of the family's 1831-position model. The record is from RNAcentral.
CAAUAGCGUAUAUUAAAGUUGUUGCAGUCAAAAAGCUCGUAGUCGGAUUUCGGGUCGGGCCGAGCGGUCUGCCGAUGGGUAUGCACUGUUUGGCGCGGCCUUCUUUCCGGAGACCGCGGCUACUCUUAACUGAGCGGGCGUGGGAGACGGAUCGUUUACUUUGAAAAAUUAGAGUGUUUAAAGCAGGCUUUUGCUGUGAAUACAUUAGCAUGGAAUAAUAAUCUAGGACUUCGGUUCUAUUUUGUUGGUUUCUUAGUACUGAAGUAAUGAUUGAUAGGGAUAGUUGGGGGUGGCUAGUAUUGGCCGGCCAGAGGUGGAAAUUACUUGGAUUCGGUCAAGACUAACUUAUGCGAAAGCAUUCACCAAGGAUGUCUUCUUUUAAUCAAGAACGAAAGUUGGGGGAUCGAAGAUGAUCAGAUACCAU